This 324-nucleotide ribosomal RNA is filed under the name uncultured eukaryote. RNAcentral describes it as "partial 18S ribosomal RNA". It matches the Rfam family "Eukaryotic small subunit ribosomal RNA", at positions 1470 to 1796 of the family's 1831-position model. The record is from RNAcentral.
CCCUUAGAUGUCCUGGGCUGCACGCGCGCUACACUGAUGUGUCCAGUAAGCACCUAACCUAUUCCGAGAGGAGCGGGUAACCUUAGCAAAGCACAUCGUGAUGGGGAUAGAUUAUUGCAAUUAUUAGUCUUGAACGAGGAAUUCCUAAUAAGCACAAGUCAUCAGCUUGUGUUGAUUACGUCCCUGCCCUUUGUACACACCGCCCGUCGCUCCUACCGAUUGAAUGUUCCGGUGAGCUCUUCGGACUGCGCGGUCUGCAGUUUCUGCGUUCCGUGCGGAAAGUUGUGCAAACCUUAACAUUUAGAGGAAGGAGAAGUCGUAACA